GCAUCCAUAGUUUAAAUGGGAAAACUACAGUCUUCCAAACUGAAGUUGAGGGUUCGAUUCCCUCUGGAUGCU
This 72-nucleotide transfer RNA is filed under the name Citrobacter phage Michonne. It matches the Rfam family "tRNA". Rfam says of the family: Transfer RNA (tRNA) molecules are approximately 80 nucleotides in length. Their secondary structure includes four short double-helical elements and three loops (D, anti-codon, and T loops). The record is from Rfam by way of RNAcentral. RNAcentral also lists the same sequence under 1 other name. Lineage: Duplodnaviria; Heunggongvirae; Uroviricota; Caudoviricetes; Andersonviridae.